CAUUUUCUCUUUUACUCCCAGCUCUGAAUCCCUGCCUUAUUAUUCUGUGAAUCUUACGUUGGAUUUACAAAACAUUUAAAAUAGAAAUCUGAUCUUGCCUUUUAAAUAUUAUGUAGGAAGAAACAGGUUUUGCAGAAGAAAGAGCACAACGCAGUUAGUAGAUUGGAGGUAGGUAACUAUAAAAAAGAAAGAAAGAGAAAGAAAAUCCUUUAUUGCUCUGUUGCUUCUAGAUCAAAUGGCAUUUUUUCCUGAUCUAGUUCAGUCUAACUCAGAAUCAGGGUGAUAAUUUUUCCUGGAUUUCCACUUCUUGUCCUGUCACUUUGGCAAUGUUCCCUGCUUUGUCCCAUCCCCCUCCUUCCUGAAUCAGCUGGUGUUUAAGGGGCAGUGUAAUCUUCCUCUAAAGGCUUUGUGGAGUCAGGCUUAAGUUUUACCAUCUGCUAAGGACUGAUGUGCUCUGGAUAGGAGCAGAUGUUUAGAAAUGAGCUGGGAUUUAAUAAGAUAUCUAUGGAUUUCACAUGCCUCCAGAAGAAUUCAAAUACUAUGUCAUAGGUCCACAAGAACAUUUUAAGUGCCUCUACAUUCCUUCUGUUUGGCAACAUCCUUUACUACACAACUGCAGCCCUGCUCCAAAUGGGAAGAUGGAUGUACUCAAAGAUCUUGAGAGGCCUUCAGGAGAACAAGUGCAUGUAUACAGUUGCAAACAGACUUCCUGCUUAGGUCUUCUGGCAAUCUACUAUAGUCUAUUCCUUAUACAGGAUAUUUGGAUUUGAUUCAGUGGCAACAGAUAGGCAUUGGGAGCCAUCAGGGAUGCUAUCGAUAGGCAUAUUAGAUUGGCUUGACCUUCAAUUACAAGAAGUAUAUUUGUCUAUUCUAAGUUGUCAUACCUGGAAGACCCAGACAAAGGUGUCAAAUAUCUUAAGACACAUACCUGUGAUUACUUAUCUCAGUCUAACCUUUACUUUUUCAGGACUGCCUCAGUGUGCAUCUAAAAUCUAAGUUGGAGGCAUAAGACUAAGAUUUUUCUGUGUCUCUAGAUUAUUUUUGUCACUAAAAAGUUUUAAAUUCUCCUUGUAUACUCUUUUUUUUUUUCAGUUUAACAGAGAGUAUGAGUAAUUAUUUUGCAGUCUUUUAUUUUUUACAAUAUAUAUUAAUGUUUCCGUCCCAAAGGGAAGGGAAGCUAACCAAUCUGCAGGAAUAUAGUCAUCGUAACAGUGAGUUUGUAGUAUUCCAUGAUACACAAGGAAACAUAGGCUUUUUUUCUCUAAAGAUUGUUAUUUAUUCCGUCACCACUAGCAAGGCUACUAUUAGAGUGAAAAUUUUUAUGAUUAUGAAUUUAUCAAGACUAGACUUAUGAUAUAUUAUAGACAUAUAUAAUUAUAGAAUUACCAGUACAGAAACAGAACAGAUCCCAGAAUGGGAGAAGGAGUGUAGGGUGCCAGUAAAACAAUCUCCAAAAGAAAAUUAACCACAAAAUAACUCAAAAAUAGAACAAUUAUCUGAAAGAAAACUGACUAAUGAGGGGUCAAGAGUAAAACAAUUAUGAGAUGACCACCAAAUGGAUCAAGAUCAAAAGAAUUAUCAAACAAAAAGACUGACUACCUCCAGGAAUGGGCCCAGAAGAGAGAAGAACAGACAGUAUCUCACUUCAAAGUUGAUCCAUUGGCUGGGCAUCGGUUGGCGGGUAGUGAGAAUGACUUUGUGCAUCAAUUGUUUUUUGUAUAUAUAUAUAAUAUAUGUAUAUUAUGAUUGACAUUGCUGUUAUUGCUUUCUUUCUUUUCUGUACUAGUAAAUAGUUUUUAUCUUAACCUA
Molecule: long non-coding RNA, 1809 nt
Organism: Numida meleagris (helmeted guineafowl)
Lineage: Eukaryota; Metazoa; Chordata; Aves; Galliformes; Numididae
Exons: 2
Source: RefSeq, a predicted model, not a curated record